GAUUAGAGAUCUUGGAUCUAGGUAAGCAUCCUAUGAUUUCGUCAUGCUUCUAUAUAGAGUCCUUUAGUUGGAGUUUGCUAGACUUGAAAGUUUGAAAUGCACAUUUAACUUGCUUAAAGUUGUUAUCUUACAUGGACAUAAUCUUUUACCAUUUCAUACCUUCAUCAUCUCCAAUUGUUGACUUCGACUCCUUUCUUCAUUCUCUCUUGGUUUCACAGGACGGAUCUACAAAUUAUAUAUGUGGCUACUGGCAAUAUUUUGCACAAAUUCUAUCAAUAUCCACGCUGGUAUCAAUGGCCUUGAAGUUGGGCAGAAAUCUCAAUUCUAUCAAUAUCCACGCUGGUAUCAAUGGCCUUGAAGUUGGGCAGACGGUCGUUAUUGCAGCAGCUGUAAGCUAGAACUGUCC
Molecule: long non-coding RNA, 406 nt
Filed under: Nicotiana benthamiana
Lineage: Eukaryota; Viridiplantae; Streptophyta; Magnoliopsida; Solanales; Solanaceae
Description: long non-coding RNA (NBEN_LNC040503)
Source: RNAcentral